RNAcentral lists this ribosomal RNA (809 nucleotides) under uncultured bacterium. RNAcentral describes it as "bacterial SSU rRNA". It matches the Rfam family "Bacterial small subunit ribosomal RNA", at positions 58 to 871 of the family's 1533-position model. The record is from RNAcentral.
CUUAUCAGCAGAAGCAGCCAGCUUGCUGGAAGCGGAAGAGGGAAAGGCUUAGCGGCGGACGGGUGAGUGACGCGUGGGUAACCUGGCCCAUACAGGGGGAUAACACUUAGAAAUAGGUGCUAAUACCGCAUAACAACAGAAAGCGCAUGCUUUUUGUUUGAAAACCAAGGUGGUAUGGGAUGGACCCGCGUCUGAUUAGCUGGUUGGCGGGGUAAAGGCCCACCAAGGCGACGAUCAGUAGCCGGCCUGAGAGGGUGGACGGCCACAUUGGGACUGAGACACGGCCCAAACUCCUACGGGAGGCAGCAGUGGGGAAUAUUGCACAAUGGGGGAAACCCUGAUGCAGCGACGCCGCGUGAGCGAAGAAGUAAUUCGUUAUGUAAAGCUCUAUCAGCAGGGAAGAAAAUGACGGUACCUGAGUAAGAAGCCCCGGCUAACUACGCGCCAGCAGCCGCGGUAAUACGUAGGGGGCAAGCGUUAUCCGGAUUUACUGGGUGUAAAGGGAGCGUAGACGGCAGUGCAAGUCUGGAGUGAAAGGCGGGGGCUCAACCCCCGGACUGCUCUGGAAACUGUACGGCUGGAGUGCAGGAGAGGUAAGUGGAAUUCCUAGUGUAGCGGUGAAAUGCGUAGAUAUUAGGAGGAACACCAGUGGCGAAGGCGGCUUACUGGACUGUAACUGACGUUGAGGCUCGAAAGCGUGGGGAGCAAACAGGAUUAGAUACCCUGGUAGUCCACGCCGUANACGAUGAUCACUAGGUGUCGGGGGUUAAAGANCCUUCGGUGCCGCAGCCAACGCAGUAAGUGAUCCA